AUAAAUAUAAUUUAUGUAUAUUUGAAUAUUUUAAGUUUAUUUUACGUAGCAAAAGAUAUUUUAUUAAAAUAAAAAUAUUGAAUAUAAAAAUUAAUAUUUAGUUAAUUAUUAAAUAUAAAAAUUAAUAGUUAAUUAAUUAUUAAAUAUAAAAUUAUAGUGUAUAUGUUUAUAAUUUUUGUAAACUAUUAAGCCCGCAUGUGCGGCAAAACACCUAGUUUAUUAAUAUAAAGUGAAGUUUUUUUUCUCUCCAUAGGACGUCUACUACCACGUGUCACCAUAACUAAUACGAUGUGUUUUCUGACUUAUAAUUUCGUUGGGGCUUUUAUUUCCAUUCUAAGUCCAGAGUUGAUAUUUGUUUCUUCGUCACUUUGACUUGGAGCUUCAAGCGUCAGCCGACGAAAGUUUCAGAUUUUGUGAUCAUCGAUCGCUUUUACGAUUUCUUCUCAUUGAUUCGUACUUUGCUCCCAUCUUCUAUGUAAUUAACCCACUCCUCCACUCUGCAGCAUUCAAUCGACUUCACCGUAUCCAAAAAGUCUAAAGCCCCAACUAUUAAUAUCCACUAUUUCAAACAUCAACAGCACAGCUUCAAUGAUAUAAAAAAUAAUAGUCUGUUCUACUUACCGAUUACUGCGAUGGAGACUUCCUUCAUCCUCCUUGCCGAUUUGAAAGCUGGUCGCUGCUCCAACACUGCGGAAGUUCGUUUGCUGAGGUUUUGAGAGGGCAGGAAUGUGAGGAAAUGGGGUGAAGUGAUGAGUCUUGACAUGCUCCUCACUGAUGAGAAUUCUACGCUCAUGCAAGGAUCCAUUAGUGCAAAGCGUCAGCUCAUAUGCAGAGACCGUCUCAGUAAAGGAUCUGUCUGCACGUUAAGCAGUUUUGAUGUAACACACAGCAACUCCAACUUCCGGUUGUCCGAAGCACCUCUCUCCAUAAGGUUAAAUGAUGAAAUCUCUUUUGAUAAGCUAAUAGAGUCGGUUAGGUACAUACCUACUGAGCUGUUCUGAUUCCUACCAUACAAUUAGUUGCUUGAAUAGGCGAACAUAUGCAAAGAACUCCCUAGUUUGUAUCUUUAAUCUUUGCUAAUAAAGUUGAGUUUUUUAUAGCAUGGGUUAACGUAACCCUUUUAAUUCAUUUCUGAGACAUAAUUGGUGAGCUAAUUACAAUCAGCAGUACAAUCACUGAUCUUACACCGGGGGCACAACACGUGAUGCUCACUAUGCGUCUGUUAAGUGGUGAUAACGUUUGCAUCAGUAUGUUUGACUCUAUGGCACUUUCGUUUCAUAGAAAAUUUGAUAGCUACAGGAAAGGAACCAAAAAUUAUGCUUGCCACAAGCGUCAAUCCAAAGAUAGUCGGGGGCUGGUUAUUCCUGAAUGCCACUUCUCGCACACAUCUCUAUUUUGACUCCGAGACAGCUGCGUGAAAAGAAGUGUUUGGCAAGCAAGUCAUAUCUUUCUAAUUAGAGAAACACAACUUUGUCUACAUUGAAUAUAUUGAAAUUUGAUUGCGUCGUUGUUUGAAUGUCUUUCAUGCUCAUUUCCUUGCGGCUUGCCAGGCCAUGGAGCAGAGCAGACAUAGUCUUCAUCAAAGGUUGUUCAUGAGCAGAAGAUUGAACCACUUACCGUUUCUGAGCUUAACCAAUUUAUUAUCAUCACUGAUUCUUAGAUAAUUCAUUUUCUCUGCACGGCUUAAGUGACCGGUAUCCAACAAGAUAAUAGUUGGUGUUAUAUUGGAUGCUCCAGGUGUUCAAAGAAACUCGUCCUAGAGAUCUUUUCCUUCACAUGUGUUUCAUGUAAUGAAACUAAUGUUGUGGCAUCACUCAUGUGACAAUUUCAAAAUGGUGACACUGUCUGUGUCAGACAACAGUACUGAUGAUGCAUCUUUCCUCUGUUUUGAUUUGGAGAGGGCUAAACUGACUAACAUUCAAGAGGCUGCACAAAUUAUGGAAGGUGCAAAGAUCCCUGAAGAAGCGCUGCCUGAAGUUGUUGCACCAGGAACAAAUGGAAAAGUUGGUAAGACUAGGAAGGAUGCAGAAGAGCCAUCUACAUCUGAUACUUCUAUAUCUGAACGUUCAGCAUCGAUCAAAAACAAGUAUCCCCUGGUGAGAAAGCCCGGAAGAACACAUGGAAUGUGUCCACUACUAGAACAUAAACAACCACACUUUUCUUUUUAUAUGCUUUACUAUCUUUUCUUUUCCGCUAGAAUCUCUUUCCCUU
Molecule: long non-coding RNA, 2211 nt
Organism: Raphanus sativus (radish)
Lineage: Eukaryota; Viridiplantae; Streptophyta; Magnoliopsida; Brassicales; Brassicaceae
Exons: 7
Source: RefSeq, a predicted model, not a curated record